AUAAUUUUCUGUGUGUAGACAAUUUUCUUCCUGUGGUUUGCUCUUUCUGGAUGGCUGUUUCGUUUCCUGAUAUUUGCAACGUGGGUGCUGCCAUUUGCUGGUCCUCUUUUAAUAGGGGCUGUCGCCAACAAUCUUGUCAUCAAGGGAGCAUGCCCUGCAUGUAGGAGACAGUUUGCUGGAUAUAAAAACCAGACGGUUCGUUGUGCAAGUUGUGGAAAUAUAGUAUGGCAGCCUCAAGGUGACUUCUUUUCAAGAGGGAGCCAAGGUUCGAGUUCCUCUUCAAAGUCUGAACACGAUGUAAUUGAUGUUGAGUUCGAGGAGAAAUGAACUUCGAAUACCAAGUGGCUCCUCUGAGGGUAUCUUUACUGAUGAUGUCUUCCAAAACUAAGAUUGAUUUUCAGAUCUUUCAACAAUGAAUUAAAAAUACCAGGUGGCCAGACUCGGUCUGCAUCCACUGAGGAUGUCAUGCAAAAAUAUUUAAGGAAUUCAAAUGUUUUAGCUGUGUAUUUAGUUGUGCUUGGCAAAAAUUCUUCCUCCUCUUCCUAUAGUUGUGCAUUGUGGUCUCUGUAUGGUCAGUGUUGCUAUUUCUGUAGGUGUAAAAAAGUGUUUAGAAGAAAGGUGAUGAAUGCAUAAAUUGACUGUUCACAACAACUGUCCUUGUGGACCAUGUCACUGUUCCAUUAAAGCGGGGAAUAGUCUUUUUGAGUUUUUCAAUUUUGAUAAAUACGUCUUGCUUAUUCAUUUCUAUUUUCCGCUUCAUGGAAUUUCUGUAGAAUUGUAUUCAAUUAAAUAGGACAUAACAGAAAGAAAGUAUUAAGAGUCAUGAUAUAGGGUAUUUGAUUUUUGUAA
Molecule: long non-coding RNA, 849 nt
Organism: Coffea eugenioides
Lineage: Eukaryota; Viridiplantae; Streptophyta; Magnoliopsida; Gentianales; Rubiaceae
Exons: 2
Source: RefSeq, a predicted model, not a curated record